UGCAGCCAUACUUUUCCCUGAAACGUCUCAAACUCAUCAAUCAGAGGAAACAAUCAAAAAGUAUUGUCAUUUGAAUAACACCAGACUGACCACCACCAAGAUNNNNGAUCCGGUUAUCGAAGCAUUUAAGAAAAAUCCUAACAUGAUUAACCCUCAGGCUAUGAGCGACUAGAUAAGGAAAGAAAACCAGAUCAAGAAUUCCAGCG
RNAcentral lists this unclassified non-coding RNA (206 nucleotides) under Hevea brasiliensis (rubber tree). The record is from RNAcentral. Lineage: Eukaryota; Viridiplantae; Streptophyta; Magnoliopsida; Malpighiales; Euphorbiaceae.